CCUACGGGUGGCAGCAGUGGGGAAUAUUGCACAAUGGGGGGAACCCUGAUGCAGCGACGCCGCGUGGGUGAGGAAGUACUUCGGUAUGUAAAGCCCUAUCAGCAGGGAAGAAAAUGACGUUACCUGACUAGGAAGCCCCGGCUAACUACGUGCAAGCAGCCGCGGUAACCCGUAGGGGGCAAGCGUUAUCCGGAUUUACCGGGUGUAAAGGGGGCGUAGACGGCGUGCCAAGUCUGAGGUGAAAGGCCGGGGCUCAACCCCGGGACUGCAUUGGAAACUGGCGUGCUGGAGUGCCGGAGGGGCAAGCGGAAUGACUAGUGUAGCGGUGAAAUGCGUAGAUAUAUGGAAGAACACCAGUGGCGAAGGCGGCCGCCUGGCCUGUUGCUGACGCUGAGGCACGAAAGCGUGGGGAGCAAAUAGGAUUAGAUACCCUAGUAGUC
This 440-nucleotide ribosomal RNA is filed under the name uncultured bacterium. Its description in RNAcentral is "partial 16S ribosomal RNA". It matches the Rfam family "Bacterial small subunit ribosomal RNA", at positions 338 to 795 of the family's 1533-position model. The record is from RNAcentral.